RNAcentral lists this ribosomal RNA (1449 nucleotides) under uncultured bacterium. RNAcentral describes it as "bacterial SSU rRNA". It matches the Rfam family "Bacterial small subunit ribosomal RNA". The record is from RNAcentral.
GAUGAACGCUAGCUACAGGCUUAACACAUGCAAGUCGAGGGGCAGCAUGGUCUUAGCUUGCUAAGGCCGAUGGCGACCGGCGCACGGGUGAGUAACACGUAUCCAACCUGCCGUCUACUCUUGGACAGCCUUCUGAAAGGAAGAUUAAUACAAGAUGGCAUCAUGAGUCCACAUGUUCACAUGAUUAAAGGUAUUCCGGUAGACGAUGGGGAUGCGUUCCAUUAGAUAGUAGGCGGGGUAACGGCCCACCUAGUCUUCGAUGGAUAGGGGUUCUGAGAGGAAGGUCCCCCACAUUGGAACUGAGACACGGUCCAAACUCCUGCGGGAGGCAGCAGUGAGGAAUAUUGGUCAGUGGGCGAGAGCCUGAACCAGCCAAGUAGCGUGAAGGAUGACUGCCCUAUGGGUUGUAAACUUCUUUUAUAAAGGAAUAAAGUCGGGUAUGCAUACCCGUUUGCAUGUACUUUAUGAAUAAGGAUCGGCUAACUCCGUGCCAGCAGCCGCGGUAAUACGGAGGAUCCGAGCGUUAUCCGGAUUUAUUGGGUUUAAAGGGAGCGUAGAUGGAUGUUUAAGUCAGUUGUGAAGUUUGCGGCUCAACCGUAAAAUUGCAGUUGAUACUGGAUAUCUUGAGUGCAGUUGAGGCAGGCGGAAUUCGUGGUGUAGCGGUGAAAUGCUUAGAUAUCACGAAGAACUCCGAUUGCGAAGGCAGCCUGCUAAGCUGCAACUGACAUUGAGGCUCGAAAGUGUGGGUAUCAAACAGGAUUAGAUACCCUGGUAGUCCACACGGUAAACGAUGAAUACUCGCUGUUUGCGAUAUACAGCAAGCGGCCAAGCAAAGCGUUAAGUAUUCCACCUGGGGAGUACGCCGGCAACGGUGAAACUCAAAGGAAUUGACGGGGGCCCGCACAAGCGGAGGAACAUGUGGUUUAAUUCGAUGAUACGCGAGGAACCUUACCCGGGCUUAAAUUGCAGAUGAAUUACGGUGAAAGCCGUAAGCCGCAAGGCAUCUGUGAAGGUGCUGCAUGGUUGUCGUCAGCUCGUGCCGUGAGGUGUCGGCUUAAGUGCCAUAACGAGCGCAACCCUUGUUGUCAGUUACUAACAGGUUCUGCUGAGGACUCUGACAAGACUGCCAUCGUAAGAUGUGAGGAAGGUGGGGAUGACGUCAAAUCAGCACGGCCCUUACGUCCGGGGCUACACACGUGUUACAAUGGGGGGGUACAGAGGGCCGCUACCACGCGAGUGGAUGCCAAUCCCAAAAACCUCUCUCAGUUCGGACUGGAGUCUGCAACCCGACUCCACGAAGCUGGAUUCGCUAGUAAUCGCGCAUCAGCCACGGCGCGGUGAAUACGUUCCCGGGCCUUGUACACACCGCCCGUCAAGCCAUGGGAGCCGGGGGUACCUGAAGUGCGUAACCGCGAGGAGCGCCCUAGGGUAAAACUGGUGACUGGGGCU